AUUAAGUCAAAUGUGAAAUCCCCGAGCUUAACUUGGGAAUUGCAUUCGAUACUGGUUGGCUAGAGUAUGGGAGAGGAUGGUAGAAUUCCAGGUGUAGCGGUGAAAUGCGUAGAGAUCUGGAGGAAUACCGAUGGCGAAGGCAGCCAUCUGGCCUAAUACUGACACUGAGGUGCGAAAGCAUGGGGAGCAAACAGGAUUAGAUACCCUGGUAGUCCAUGCCGUAAACGAUGUCUACUAGCCGUUGGGGCCUUUGAGGCUUUAGUGGCGCAGCUAACGCGAUAAGUAGACCGCCUGGGGAGUACGGUCGCAAGACUAAAACUCAAAUGAAUUGACGGGGGCCCGCACAAGCGGUGGAGCAUGUGGUUUAAUUCGAUGCAACGCGAAGAACCUUACCUGGUCUUGACAUAGUAAGAACUUUCCAGAGAUGGAUUGGUGCCUUCGGGAACUUACAUACAGGUGCUGCAUGGCUGUCGUCAGCUCGUGUCGUGAGAUGUUGGGUUAAGUCCCGCAACGAGCGCAACCCUUUUCCUUAUUUGCCAGCGGGUUAAGCCGGGAACUUUAAGGAUACUGCCAGUGACAAACUGGAGGAAGGCGGGGACGACGUCAAGUCAUCAUGGCCCUUACGACCAGGGCUACACACGUGCUACAAUGGUCGGUACAAAGGGUUGCUACCUCGCGAGAGGAUGCUAAUCUCAAAAAGCCGAUCGUAGUCCGGAUCGCAGUCUGCAACUCGACUGCGUGAAGUCGGAAUCGCUAGUAAUCGCGGAUCAGAAUGCCGCGGUGAAUACGUUCCCGGGCCUUGUACACACCGCCCGUCACACCAUGGGAGUUUGUUGCACCA
RNAcentral lists this ribosomal RNA (841 nucleotides) under uncultured Moraxellaceae bacterium. RNAcentral's name for it is "SSU rRNA". It matches the Rfam family "Bacterial small subunit ribosomal RNA", at positions 582 to 1422 of the family's 1533-position model. The record is from RNAcentral. Lineage: Bacteria; Pseudomonadati; Pseudomonadota; Gammaproteobacteria; Moraxellales; Moraxellaceae.